GCUACCAUGAAGAGCAAAUGCACGAUUCACAAGUUUCGUUUCGCCAUUUUCAUUGUUGAUUUCGCAAGCGUCGAGCAAUCCCACGUGACCUCCUUUGGAUCAGUGAAAAGUGAAAAUUACUCGCGUCAUGAACAUAUAUGUUCAUCUCAGCGCAAAUCACGUUUUGCAUGCUAUAGAAGGAGGGGGGAUCAAUACUCUUCCUUUCGUGUUUUGAUAUCUUGUUGUUUUGCUACUCUCACUUCGGAGUUCGGAUGGUGUCUAGCAACGUUGGGUACCUCGUUUCUUGUGUGUGUGAGCGAGUGGUUGCUGUUUACGAUGUGUUCAUAUAUCGCUUUGUAGUGCUGUAAUGUGCAAAUUAGCGGACUUUAUAGCGGCUCUCUAUUUUCCGUCGUUGUCUUUCGAGCAGCGCCUGUUGUUCCGGUAAAAAUCGAGUUGAAUGAAUCGCCACAGCCCCAACGUAUAUCGCGCAGUGUUGACCAAGUCAAGCAGGAAUUCUGGCAUGGUAUGUGGCUGCACGAAGGAUUCCGAAAAAGAAAAACAACAACAUGGCUAAUAGGAUGUUGCUGCCCAGGGAGUCCUGGCGAAGAGGUUUACUCAUUCCAGAAGCAAGAAUUGUAUCAUUGUAAGGCGAAUGGAAAUAAACUGACAUCGACUGA
This is a long non-coding RNA of Ornithodoros turicata, 656 nucleotides long. RefSeq lists it as uncharacterized. The transcript has 3 exons. NCBI's taxonomy places the organism in Eukaryota, Metazoa, Arthropoda, Arachnida, Ixodida, Argasidae. The record is from RefSeq and is a predicted model, not a curated record.